AUGACUAUAAGAAGAGAAGGCACUAACCUAUUUGAAUCUGUACCGUCUCCUCUCCCCUAGCUUCAUUUCUCCCUUGGAUGUUUAUUCUUGAAGACAUGGAGGUCUCCAAGAUCAAGAUGCCAGGCUUGUGCUUGCUGCUGCUCAUGCCACUCCUGUUGCUUCCUGGAUCUGAAGCAGGCGAUUAUUGCAAGUGGUUCAGCAAGACCUACACUACUUUUCACUGUGCGGACAACCCAUGCGCUGAGCACUGCCGCAACGAGGGCUUCCCUCGUGGGUGGUGUGAGUUCGUCGCCUUAGAACCUCUCGCCUUAGUCUGCUUCUGCAGGAAACCCUGCUGAUGAUGCUUGUGAAGUAAUAAUACUGUUGUGUGUUUAUAAGGAAGUGUACAUGUGAACUUCUAUGUCGUAUUUGCCGUGAAGAGCAGAUCAGUAUAAUAAAGGUGAAGUUGCAAUA
Molecule: long non-coding RNA, 453 nt
Organism: Triticum aestivum (bread wheat)
Lineage: Eukaryota; Viridiplantae; Streptophyta; Magnoliopsida; Poales; Poaceae
Exons: 2
Source: RefSeq, a predicted model, not a curated record